AUUGAACGCUGGCGGCAGGCUUAACACAUGCAAGUCGAGCGGGGUGAUGGUGCUUGCACUAUCACUUAGCGGCGGACGGGUGAGUAAUGCUUAGGAAUCUGCCUAUUAGUGGGGGACAACAUCUCGAAAGGGAUGCUAAUACCGCAUACGUCCUACGGGAGAAAGCAGGGGAUCACUUGUGACCUUGCGCUAAUAGAUGAGCCUAAGUCGGAUUAGCUAGUUGGUGGGGUAAAGGCCUACAAAGGCGACGAUCUGUAGCGGGUCUGAGAGGAUUAUCCGCCACACUGGGAAUGAGACACGGCCCAGACUCCUACGGGAGGCAGCAGUGGGGAAUAUUGGACAAUGGGGGGAACCCUGAUCCAGCCAUGCCGCGUGUGUGAAGAAGGCCUUAUGGUUGUAAUGCACUUUAAGCGAGGAGGAGGCUCUUUUGGUUAAUACCCAAGAUGAGUGGACGUUACUCGCAGAAUAAGCACCGGCUAACUCUGUGCCAGCCGCCGCUGUAA
RNAcentral lists this ribosomal RNA (503 nucleotides) under uncultured bacterium. RNAcentral describes it as "partial 16S ribosomal RNA". It matches the Rfam family "Bacterial small subunit ribosomal RNA", at positions 30 to 523 of the family's 1533-position model. The record is from RNAcentral.